UGAGGAAUAUUCUGCAAUGGACGAAAGUCUGACAGAGCAAUACCGCGUGAAGGAUGAAGGCCUACGGGUUGUAAACUUCUUUUCUCAAGGAGGAAGAAAUGACGUUACUUGAGGAAUAAGCAUCGGCUAACCCUGUGCCAGCAGCCGCGGUAAUACAGGGGAUGCAAGUGUUAUCCGGAUUCAUUGGGCGUAAAGCGUCUGCAGGUGGAUGUAUAAGUCUUUUGUUAAAGCUUUGGGCUUAACCCAAAAUCUGCAAAAGAAACUAUAUAUCUGGAGUAUGGUAGAGGUAAAGGGAAUUUCCGGUGGAGCGGUGAAAUGCGUAGAUAUCGGAAAGAACACCAAUUGCGAAGGCACUUUACUGGGCCAGUACUGACACUCAGAGACGAAAGCUAAGGGAGCAAACAGG
Molecule: ribosomal RNA, 406 nt
Filed under: uncultured stramenopile
Lineage: Eukaryota
Description: SSU rRNA
Rfam family: Bacterial small subunit ribosomal RNA
Source: RNAcentral